UGAGCAUGAAAAAUCAGCUGAAGGUCACUUUACAAUUUCAGAAUGCUUAGGCUACUAAUUCAAGCUGUCUAUUGCUUUUAUUUCUAGAAAAUCAGUACAUAGAAUACAAUAUUCUGCUAGAUUGGCAAUUGUGAUUCCUUUUCUAGUCCUAGAAACUUAGGAAGAAGAUUAUGUAACUUCUUAUUAUUCUUUUUCCAUUUUCAUUUUGGUUAUAGAACUCUUCACCAGAAUAGUUUCAAGGGCAGUUCUGGGGGGCUAUUGAGUGUUUUUUACCUAGCUAGUUGCUAAAAUGGUGCAUUAAUCAUUUAUAUCAUUCGUUUGCUCAUAAAACUCCACCAGAUUGUUGUUUGUAGGCAUGCAAAGAUUCAUUUGGGGAUCUAGUAAUAGCAGGGAAAUUUUCAUUUAGGGUGUGCUUGGGAUUUGGAUGACUAUUCUGGCAUUGUCUAUUGUGGGGUGAUGUCUCAAAAGAUGCUCUUUUCUCAACUACAGGGCACAUUGGUGGAGCUACAUUGCCAUAUUAAUUUCGUGAAGGAUCAAGAAUAUGAACAUUUGGAAAUCAGGUAAAAUGUUAAAAUUUCGAAGCAACAGUGUUGUAUAGAUGAGGAUAACAUGGACUUAAGGCUUUAUAAUGGCCAAUAAUUCAUGGUAAACACUACCAUAGACAUCAGAAGGGGACUCAAGUUUGUUGUUUCUUUAGAAGAAACUGAUGUGAAGAUCGUAAUUUCUAUGCGGUUUAGCUGCUAUUCUGUUAUAUUUGCUGUUUAGAGAUAAUUUAUCUAACCUUUGAGGGUUUCAAACCAUUGUGAAUAGCUUUAGAACCCUCUUGUUAUGGACUUGCAGCUAAACGUGCAAGCAGGGAAAACAGAAUUCAGAUAAGGGGUUCCAUUUGGGCAGGUUUACUUAUGUUUUUAUCACAGACGCAAGAAGGGUAUAGUGAAUUAAGGGACAACAGUUGUCAUUAGUUUUCUUUACAGUUUUCCUUUUCUCUUUUAUAUUUGUCAUAUGUAGCUUAAAGGCGGAGUCAAUUACUCUUUUGAGUUUUUAUGCAUUGGGUAAUUACUUUGUUGGUUUUGCUUGUUCUCAGAUUUGUAAAAGUAUGAUUAGGAAAGAGAAAAGCAUGCAUUAGUUUCUUUAAAUUGGGUUCUUAUACUCAGUAGAUUGAAUAGUUCUCUCUUAAAAGCUCCUAUUCCAAUUAAUCAAAAUAGGUCACAAAAGUAGGAAAUCUAAAAAACACAACCUGCGAACUAUUUUAAAUCUGAUUUCCAGGUUAAUUGUCCUUUAACUAGAUCCCAAACACAGGGUUGUAAAACCUUUUGUUAUGCCAUGUUGGUUAUGCUAGUUUCCUUCCGUAAAUUAUAAUGUGUUGGAUGAUUUUUUUUUUUUUUCUAGUUUCUCUACUUUCUCCUUUUGUCUUUUUGUUUUAUGUUGAAUGCAUUACUUGUGAUUGAGUUAUCUCUAUGUGCUUUUAUGAAUGAAAUGAAAAUAAGGUUUCACAAUCACUCUUUUGCUAAAGCAUAAAUAACAGCGAUGACUUUGGUAGAACUUGUUAUUUGUCAAAAUAAGAUGACUCUUGCAUUUUACUUUUUUGCUUUGUAAACUUUCAUUCUCGAAUUAUAUUGAAGGAGGCUGAUUACUCUCUCUCUUCAUAACAAUAUUUGGUGUGUGAAAAUAAUAUCAACAAGCAUGAACGUUGUUCCGCUUCUAUUAAGUAGCACCCAGUUGGAAUUGCUUGCUAUCAUAAUGAUUAUUAGUAUAAUUAAUAAUCUUAACGUUGGCCUUUGUUUCUGAAAUUGGAAAUUGUGCAGGGAAAUGUAUACCUAUUAUUAGGGGUGCUGGAAUUUAUCAAGAACACAUGAAUGAAGCUCUUGAACACUUGAGCAAUGGAGCAUGGGUAUUUUUUCUAAAAUAUUAUGAACUCCUUGGGCCAAAUGUUAGUGAUAACUGAUCAGUAAUGCGUGGGAAGCAUCCAAGUCUGUUAACAAAUCUGGUCUGGGGGCUGGUUAUUGAAGGAAGAGGCAGCUAAAUUUGUUUAAUCUGCUCGUUUGACUCUGCUCGACUUGUAAUGUUCUCAUUUUCGGAUUAUUGACUUACAUUCUGGUAUCUUUGGUCAUAUUAGGAAUAUAUUUCUUACCUUCCCUCCCACUUCUCAUGUUGAUGUUCCACUUUAAAUUAUUUGCUCAACAUUUCCACUCUUACCAUCUCUCCAACUAUUUUCUUGAACUCUAUGGGCGCAAAAGAAUAACUGAAGUUAUCUGCUGAAUAGUUACUUAGGAAAAGGUAAAACAUUAAAAAGGUUCCAAAUUUAGGGAGUAGGACGUAGGUUGAUCUGAUUAGGCAAAUACAUACAAGUUGCAUUCAUCUGAUUGGGAAUAGAGUCUGUCAGUUCACUUGAUUCCAUACCCUUGUUUUUUAUUGCCUUUUCCUGAAUUAAUUUCAUGUUGGUCUAUGGCUAUGGGUUAUGUCCUACUUUUCUUUGUUUUUAAUACAAGUUAUGGGCUUAUGGCUCAAAGGAAUUUUGUUAUAAAAGAGUGUUUAGUUCGAUAAAUGAACUUUUAUUAAAUGUUGAUAGGGAAUUGAUUGGACUCUUCCUAUCCACCUCCCUCUUUCUCUUGUUGAUACCAGUAAUUAAUGGCCACAUUUGUGAAAGCUGUAUGAGCAUUCUAGUACCAAGUUGUUUGACCACCUGCUGCAUUUUUUGGAUGAAUAGAACCAGAAAGAUUCUGGACUUUGUAUCAAUGACCCAGAGAUAAUGCUGACAUAUGUAGGGGGAUUAUAGACCAUAUAGUACUCUUACUACUGUUAUGCAAGAGAUAUGAGGAACAAUAAAUUUUUGCUUAGUUGGCUUCCUUGUUUUGUAGAAGGACCUCUUAAGAAUUUGUAUCACGAUAUGAUUGCCUUCUUUUUUGAGAUCACGAUCUCUUUUAGCAAUUGUCAAAACAAUUUCAAUGAUUGUUUAUUGCUUAAGCCAGAGUAUUAAAUUAAUUAGUGGCCAUUUCAUUAAUUGGAAAAUGUUUGAGGUUCACAAGUUCUCAUAGACGCAUACGUACUUUCUCACAAAUUGUUGUCAAUACAUGCAUAGUGUAGUUAAUUAUGUGAGUGGUUUAAAAAUUAUUAUUUUUAGAUUUUUUUCCAUCAAUGAAUUCUAUAUUUAUCUGGUUCUUCCUUUAGUUCUUCCUCUUCAACAGAUAAUCACAUUUUACUUGCUGUUCUGAUGGUUUCUUUUUAUGUCCCUAAUGGACAGCUGCAUGCAUUUCCCCAAGGAAAAGUUUUGCAAGAGGAUGCACCAAUAAGACGAUUAAAAUGGGGAACUGUGAGUCUUAUUGUCCGUUCCCCUAUAACCCCAAUAGUCUUGCCCAUUGUUCAUCAAGGUUUUGAGGUGGUAACUUCUUUAAAAUUUAUUGAAUCCGCUAAAAGAUUUCCUCUCCUUUUUUCCUUUUUUGCAACUAAUAUACUUUUGUUUGCCAGAAAAUCAUGAAUGCACCAAUGUCACUGUAAAAACUUGUUUACCACCUAGGUUGGGCCUAUAUUUGUACUUAAUUAGCCAUUAACAUUUUUUUCCAUGCAUAGGUUAUGCAGGCAUUGCUCCUAAGUGCUCGCCUGAAGGUUUACCCUAUUGUUUGACUGGAGGUUGAACAAUGAUGUGGUGAUGCCUGAGAAUUAUUGGUUUGGGAGAAGGCCUCCUUUUCCAUUAUGUAACAAAAUAAUUAACAUAGUUUUUGAUGAGCCAAUGGAAUUUGACCUUCCUAAAAUGAGGCAAAUGGCAAUCUCCAUGUCUCGUAAUCUGCAUUUUCGUACCAGAGGAUGGCCCAGCAUUUCCCAUUAUGGACUGGAUGAAGCAGCACAGAGGUAUCUCUACAUGGCUAUUUCAGAGCAAAUUCAAACUGUCAUGGAAAACUUAAGAUGUUUGGGUAAAAGUUCUGUGAAGUAAAGGGUCUAACUUCUUUGCAUCUUGAAAAAUUAGAGAAUUUGGCAUGUCCAUUCCAAUCAAGCAUGUGAAGAAGUGGAGAAAAUACAUUGAGCUAUUAAAAUGACUUCCAGUACUGAUCAAGACAUUUUCCUGAUGUUCUGGAGAGGUUUGGUUGGUUAUGAGAUUUUAAUCUCUUAUUGAUAUUUGAUUUAUUGAGUCAGACUUCCUUUAAUUGAACUCUUGACUGAAUUGUUAAACGUGCACCAAAAUCUAUAAUAACCAUGAGCAUAGAUUUGGUAAUGUCAGUGAUAAUUACCAAAAGUCACUUUAGGUCUUUAAUUCCUAUUGGGAAUUUGAAAUUUACACUUUUAUUGCAUGAUGGCUCAUGUAAGGUCUGCUAUAUGUUCAAGCUACACUAAUAAAUCAAAUUCCAAGAUUGUGUGAAUCCUCUUGGGAUUUCAGGUCGACAAGUAAAUAAGACACCUUGGUGUGGCACAUUAAAGGGACUUCUCUGCUUGUGGCAAUGGUCAGAAGGUCUUCAUGGUUGGAAGCUACAUUCAGGUAUGUCUGCAUUUUAUUUGUUCUUGGCCAGAUCCUCCUUGUUGUAGGUGACCUUUUUAAAAAAAUGUGCAGUUCCAGGAACAAAGCCUACCCAUUAAUUAGUUUGAUUAAUUUGUUUGAUGCCAGUCAUUUGGCAAGUUAUGAGUCGCCGGUGAAGAAGUAAUUUUCUUGGUUUUCUCACAGCACUUCCAUAAGUUCUGAUCAUGGUUAUCCCUAUUGUCGUGGGACAAUAAGAGGAUUGUGUUCAUGUUGUUAGCUCCAUUAAAUGAUUGUCCUACUCUUACAUCUGCACAUUCUUAAUGGUUUCUUCAUGUAUGUGUUGUAUCUCAGGCCGACUUGUGUCUUAUGAAAUGGCCUGAUAACUUCUCUUGAAGUUUGCUUGGCAUCUGCAGUGCAAUUUAAGUAUCAUGCUAGAAACUGUAUGCCAUUUUAGCAAGAAAAAGAACUGAGUGAAGUCCUUAAUUGUGUAGGCAAAGUUUGCAGAAUAUGGUCGCGGUAGCCUCUUCUUCCUAGUUUGGUCUUCCAAUGUUUUGACACCCAUUUGAUUUGGAUGACAGAGUGAUGUAUUUGUAUCUUACCAUCACUUGAUGAGGAAUAAAAGCUUUGAAUCGUCUCUGAGAA
RNA transcript from Hevea brasiliensis (rubber tree), 5089 nucleotides. It is a transcript of the gene named N-acylphosphatidylethanolamine synthase, with no coding region annotated. The transcript is spliced from 3 exons. The record is from RefSeq and is a predicted model, not a curated record. Lineage: Eukaryota; Viridiplantae; Streptophyta; Magnoliopsida; Malpighiales; Euphorbiaceae.